UUAAGCGACUAAGCGUACACGGUGGAUGCCCUGGCAGUCAGAGGCGAUGAAGGACGUGCUAAUCUGCGAUAAGCGUCGGUAAGGUGAUAUGAACCGUUAUAACCGGCGAUUUCCGAAUGGGGAAACCCAGUGUGUUUCGACACACUAUCAUUAACUGAAUCCAUAGGUUAAUGAGGCGAACCGGGGGAACUGAAACAUCUAAGUACCCCGAGGAAAAGAAAUCAACCGAGAUUCCCCCAGUAGCGGCGAGCGAACGGGGAGCAGCCCAGAGCCUGAAUCAGUGUGUGUGUUAGUGGAAGCGUCUGGAAAGGCGCGCGAUACAGGGUGACAGCCCCGUACACAAAAAUGCACAUGCUGUGAGCUCGAUGAGUAGGGCGGGACACGUGGUAUCCUGUCUGAAUAUGGGGGGACCAUCCUCCAAGGCUAAAUACUCCUGACUGACCGAUAGUGAACCAGUACCGUGAGGGAAAGGCGAAAAGAACCCCGGCGAGGGGAGUGAAAAAGAACCUGAAACCGUGUACGUACAAGCAGUGGGAGCCUCUUUAUGGGGUGACUGCGUACCUUUUGUAUAAUGGGUCAGCGACUUAUAUUCUGUAGCAAGGUUAACCGAAUAGGGGAGCCGAAGGGAAACCGAGUCUUAACUGGGCGUUAAGUUGCAGGGUAUAGACCCGAAACCCGGUGAUCUAGCCAUGGGCAGGUUGAAGGUUGGGUAACACUAACUGGAGGACCGAACCGACUAAUGUUGAAAAAUUAGCGGAUGACUUGUGGCUGGGGGUGAAAGGCCAAUCAAACCGGGAGAUAGCUGGUUCUCCCCGAAAGCUAUUUAGGUAGCGCCUCGUGAAUUCAUCUCCGGGGGUAGAGCACUGUUUCGGCAAGGGGGUCAUCCCGACUUACCAACCCGAUGCAAACUGCGAAUACCGGAGAAUGUUAUCACGGGAGACACACGGCGGGUGCUAACGUCCGUCGUGAAGAGGGAAACAACCCAGACCGCCAGCUAAGGUCCCAAAGUCAUGGUUAAGUGGGAAACGAUGUGGGAAGGCCCAGACAGCCAGGAUGUUGGCUUAGAAGCAGCCAUCAUUUAAAGAAAGCGUAAUAGCUCACUGGUCGAGUCGGCCUGCGCGGAAGAUGUAACGGGGCUAAACCAUGCACCGAAGCUGCGGCAGCGACGCUUAUGCGUUGUUGGGUAGGGGAGCGUUCUGUAAGCCUGUGAAGGUGUGCUGUGAGGCAUGCUGGAGGUAUCAGAAGUGCGAAUGCUGACAUAAGUAACGAUAAAGCGGGUGAAAAGCCCGCUCGCCGGAAGACCAAGGGUUCCUGUCCAACGUUAAUCGGGGCAGGGUGAGUCGACCCCUAAGGCGAGGCCGAAAGGCGUAGUCGAUGGGAAACAGGUUAAUAUUCCUGUACUUGGUGUUACUGCGAAGGGGGGACGGAGAAGGCUAUGUUGGCCGGGCGACGGUUGUCCCGGUUUAAGCGUGUAGGCUGGUUUUCCAGGCAAAUCCGGAAAAUCAAGGCUGAGGCGUGAUGACGAGGCACUACGGUGCUGAAGCAACAAAUGCCCUGCUUCCAGGAAAAGCCUCUAAGCAUCAGGUAACAUCAAAUCGUACCCCAAACCGACACAGGUGGUCAGGUAGAGAAUACCAAGGCGCUUGAGAGAACUCGGGUGAAGGAACUAGGCAAAAUGGUGCCGUAACUUCGGGAGAAGGCACGCUGAUAUGUAGGUGAAGUCCCUCGCGGAUGGAGCUGAAAUCAGUCGAAGAUACCAGCUGGCUGCAACUGUUUAUUAAAAACACAGCACUGUGCAAACACGAAAGUGGACGUAUACGGUGUGACGCCUGCCCGGUGCCGGAAGGUUAAUUGAUGGGGUCAGCGCAAGCGAAGCUCUUGAUCGAAGCCCCGGUAAACGGCGGCCGUAACUAUAACGGUCCUAAGGUAGCGAAAUUCCUUGUCGGGUAAGUUCCGACCUGCACGAAUGGCGUAAUGAUGGCCAGGCUGUCUCCACCCGAGACUCAGUGAAAUUGAACUCGCUGUGAAGAUGCAGUGUACCCGCGGCAAGACGGAAAGACCCCGUGAACCUUUACUAUAGCUUGACACUGAACAUUGAGCCUUGAUGUGUAGGAUAGGUGGGAGGCUUUGAAGUGUGGACGCCAGUCUGCAUGGAGCCGACCUUGAAAUACCACCCUUUAAUGUUUGAUGUUCUAACGUUGGCCCCUAAUCGGGGUUGCGGACAGUGUCUGGUGGGUAGUUUGACUGGGGCGGUCUCCUCCUAAAGAGUAACGGAGGAGCACGAAGGUUGGCUAAUCCUGGUCGGACAUCAGGAGGUUAGUGCAAUGGCAUAAGCCAGCUUGACUGCGAGCGUGACGGCGCGAGCAGGUGCGAAAGCAGGUCAUAGUGAUCCGGUGGUUCUGAAUGGAAGGGCCAUCGCUCAACGGAUAAAAGGUACUCCGGGGAUAACAGGCUGAUACCGCCCAAGAGUUCAUAUCGACGGCGGUGUUUGGCACCUCGAUGUCGGCUCAUCACAUCCUGGGGCUGAAGUAGGUCCCAAGGGUAUGGCUGUUCGCCAUUUAAAGUGGUACGCGAGCUGGGUUUAGAACGUCGUGAGACAGUUCGGUCCCUAUCUGCCGUGGGCGCUGGAGAACUGAGGGGGGCUGCUCCUAGUACGAGAGGACCGGAGUGGACGCAUCACUGGUGUUCGGGUUGUCAUGCCAAUGGCACUGCCCGGUAGCUAAAUGCGGAAGAGAUAAGUGCUGAAAGCAUCUAAGCACGAAACUUGCCCCGAGAUGAGUUCUCCCUGACUCCUUGAGAGUCCUGAAGGAACGUUGAAGACGACGACGUUGAUAGGCCGGGUGUGUAAGCGCAGCGAUGCGUUGAGCUAACCGGUACUAAUGAACCGUGAGGCUUAACCUU
This 2901-nucleotide ribosomal RNA is filed under the name Escherichia coli G3/10. RNAcentral describes it as "bacterial LSU rRNA". It matches the Rfam family "Bacterial large subunit ribosomal RNA". The record is from RNAcentral. Lineage: Bacteria; Pseudomonadati; Pseudomonadota; Gammaproteobacteria; Enterobacterales; Enterobacteriaceae.